This 1343-nucleotide ribosomal RNA is filed under the name uncultured bacterium. RNAcentral describes it as "16S ribosomal RNA". It matches the Rfam family "Bacterial small subunit ribosomal RNA", at positions 28 to 1378 of the family's 1533-position model. The record is from RNAcentral.
GACGAACGCUGGCGGCGUGCUUAACACAUGCAAGUCGAACGGAAAGGCCCUGCUUUUGUGGGGUGCUCGAGUGGCGAACGGGUGAGUAACACGUGAGUAACCUGCCCUUGACUUUGGGAUAACUUCAGGAAACUGGGGCUAAUACCGGAUAGGAGCUCCUGCUGCAUGGUGAGGGUUGGAAAGUUUCGGCGGUUGGGGAUGGACUCGCGGCUUAUCAGCUUGUUGGUGGGGUAGUGGCUUACCAAGGCUUUGACGGGUAGCCGGCCUGAGAGGGUGACCGGCCACAUUGGGACUGAGAUACGGCCCAGACUCCUACGGGAGGCAGCAGUGGGGAAUAUUGCACAAUGGGCGGAAGCCUGAUGCAGCAACGCCGCGUGCGGGAUGACGGCCUUCGGGUUGUAAACCGCUUUCGCCUGUGACGAAGCGUGAGUGACGGUAAUGGGUAAAGAAGCACCGGCUAACUACGUGCCAGCAGCCGCGGUGAUACGUAGGGUGCGAGCGUUGUCCGGAUUUAUUGGGCGUAAAGGGCUCGUAGGUGGUUGAUCGCGUCGGAAGUGUAAUCUUGGGGCUUAACCCUGAGCGUGCUUUCGAUACGGGUUGACUUGAGGAAGGUAGGGGAGAAUGGAAUUCCUGGUGGAGCGGUGGAAUGCGCAGAUAUCAGGAGGAACACCAGUGGCGAAGGCGGUUCUCUGGGCCUUUCCUGACGCUGAGGAGCGAAAGCGUGGGGAGCGAACAGGCUUAGAUACCCUGGUAGUCCACGCUGUAAACGGUGGGUACUAGGUGUGGGGUCCAUUCCACGGGUUCCGUGCCGUAGCUAACGCUUUAAGUACCCCGCCUGGGGAGUACGGCCGCAAGGCUAAAACUCAAAGGAAUUGACGGGGCCUCGCACAAGCGGCGGAGCAUGCGGAUUAAUUCGAUGCAACGCGUAGAACCUUACCUGGGUUUGACAUGGAUCGGGAGUGCUCAGAGAUGGGUGUGCCUCUUUUGGGGUCGGUUCACAGGUGGUGCAUGGCUGUCGUCAGCUCGUGUCGUGAGAUGUUGGGUUAAGUCCCGCAACGAGCGCAACCCUUGUUCACUGUUGCCAGCACGUUAUGGUGGGGACUCAGUGGAGACCGCCGGGGUCAACUCGGAGGAAGGUGGGGAUGACGUCAAGUCAUCAUGCCCCUUAUGUCCAGGGCUUCACGCAUGCUACAAUGGCUGGUACAGAGAGUGGCGAGCCUGUGAGGGUGAGCGAAUCUCGGAAAGCCGGUCUCAGUUCGGAUUGGGGUCUGCAACUCGACCUCAUGAAGUCGGAGUCGCUAGUAAUCGCAGAUCAGCAACGCUGCGGUGAAUACGUUCCCGGG